This 433-nucleotide ribosomal RNA is filed under the name uncultured Lachnospiraceae bacterium. Its description in RNAcentral is "partial 16S ribosomal RNA". It matches the Rfam family "Bacterial small subunit ribosomal RNA", at positions 341 to 792 of the family's 1533-position model. Lineage: Bacteria; Bacillati; Bacillota; Clostridia; Lachnospirales; Lachnospiraceae. The record is from RNAcentral.
ACGGAGGCAGCAGUGGGGAAUAUUGCACAAUGGGGGAAACCCUGAUGCAGCGACGCCGCGUGAGCGAAGAAGUAUUUCGGUAUGUAAAGCUCUAUCAGCAGGGAAGAAAAUGACGGUACCUGACUAAGAAGCUCCGGCUAAAUACGUGCCAGCAGCCGCGGUAAUACGUAUGGAGCAAGCGUUGUCCGGAUUUACUGGGUGUAAAGGGAGCGUAGACGGGACAGCAAGUCUGAUGUGAAAUGCGGGGGCUCAACCCCUGAACUGCAUUGGAAACUGUUGACCUUGAGUGCCGGAGAGGUAAGCGGAAUUCCUAGUGUAGCGGUGAAAUGCGUAGAUAUUAGGAGGAACACCAGUGGCGAAGGCAGCUUACUGGACGGUAACUGACGUUGAGGCUCGAAAGCGUGGGGAGCAAACAGGAUUAGAUACCCUGGUA